UUUUUGGUGGGGUGGGCUGUUGAUAAUUAUAGUCAUGUGUCUGUAAGCAGACCAUGAAUAAAUGUCAUCCCCUUUUCUAGCCCUGAUAUUUUAAUGAAUGGGUGAAUGAACUACUUUGUUUUUUUCUGAGUUUCUUGAGGGAGAAUUUAGUUGCCACAGGAAAAUCAGGUUUAGUUGGAAUGAUAGACGCUAAAAUGUUUUCCUAGGAAAGUUUGAAUGUAUGAGAAAGAUUCCUGGAAACAGAAGAGGAUUACACAGGAGUGCACUGUGAGAGCAGCUGAAAACAGGGUUAAAAAGAUAAACAAGUCCAGUUUGAAUCAAAGGUGACAGGCCUGGUCUUGGCCCCAACUUUCAGGACAGCUAGAAGUUGGCCUUGCCCAACAAGAAAGAAGACAGUGGUCUGCCUUUCAGCUCUUCCUCAUGUUGCUGUUCAGCCUGCAACUUUCACUAACCAGAGAUUCUUAAAAGGAGCUAUCAUCAGUGAAAACAAGGAUACGCCCUAGUUAAUGAUACAAGGUGUUAAUUUGUCUCAUCUGCCAAAAGACAUUUAAAUGUUACUCGAUCUGUUUUUGGUGAAAUAUUUGGGCAUAUUUCAAACUUAUUCCGAAUGCUUUUUUGCUUAUCUAAGCUAAUUACCUCAAUCCAUGUACCUAGCUAUCACAAUUUUCCAAGAUACCACAGUUUUUCUAAUAUAUAGAAUACCCUUUUAUAGUCUGGGAAUUGAAAUCAUACUGUUUGGCUCAAGCGAUAUCACAGAUUUAUCAUGCACAUACAUUUUCAGAUGGGGAGAGUCCACGAGGUUCACUUGGGUGUGACAAUUCCCUUAGUGUUUGACUCCUGUAAUGUUUUUCCUGGUACUUCGCUAUUUUGGAAGUGCUGAAGCUUGCAUUUUCUCCUGUGAAAGAUUUUCCUGAGCUCCCUUCUGGCCUACUUCAUUACUUGGCCUCACUUCGCAUGUUCUAAUUUUUAAACUUGUUAUUCUCUGUGGACAGGGUUUUUGACAUCCAUCUUCUCUUUAACAAUUAAAAUGUUAUACAUUCUGGAAUUACUCAUACCAUACUCUGCUCAUGUUCCUUACUUUUGCUACAAGAGUUGCAUGGGUGGACCAAGGACAUCAUAUAACUAUUGCUUUAUUUUAGUCUUUUCAAGUAACUGCAAGUGUCAUUUUCCUAAUACCUCAAUAAAAUAUUUUUGGAUUCCA
Neofelis nebulosa (Clouded leopard) is the source of this 1201-nucleotide long non-coding RNA. RefSeq lists it as uncharacterized. NCBI's taxonomy places the organism in Eukaryota, Metazoa, Chordata, Mammalia, Carnivora, Felidae. The transcript is spliced from 2 exons. The record is from RefSeq and is a predicted model, not a curated record.